The sequence is a ribosomal RNA, 437 nucleotides long. It matches the Rfam family "Bacterial small subunit ribosomal RNA", at positions 341 to 792 of the family's 1533-position model.
ACGGAAGGCAGCAGUGGGGAAUAUUGGGCAAUGGGCGAAAGCCUGACCUAGCAACGCCGCGUGAAGGAAGAAGGUUUUCGGAUUGUAAACUUCUUUUAUCAGGGACGAAGAAAGUGACGGUACCUGAUGAAUAAGCCACGGCUAACUACGUGCCAGCAGCCGCGGUAAUACGUAGGUGGCAAGCGUUAUCCGGAUUUACUGGGUGUAAAGGGCGCGUAGGCGGGGAUGCAAGUCAGGUGUGAAAUCUAUGGGCUUAACCCAUAAACUGCAUUUGAAACUGUAUCUCUUGAGUGUCGGAGAGGUAGACGGAAUUCCUAGUGUGGCGGUGAAAUGCGUAGAUAUUAGGAGGAACACCAGUGGCGAAGGCGGCCUGCUGGACUGUUACUGACGCUGAGGCACGAAAGCGUGGGGAGCAAACAGGAUUAGAUACCCUGGUA